GAUGAACGCUGGCGGCGUGCCUAAUACAUGCCAGUCGAGCGAACAGACGAGGAGCUUGCUCCUCUGACGUUAGCGGCGGACGGGUGAGUAACACGUGGAUAACCUACCUAUAAGACUGGGAUAACUUCGGGAAACCGGAGCUAAUACCGGAUAAUAUAUUGAACCGCAUGGUUCAAUAGUGAAAGACGGUUUUGCUGACACUUAUAGAUGGAUCCGCGCCGCAUUAGCUAGUUGGUAAGGUAACGGCUUACCAAGGCAACGAUGCGUAGCCGACCUGAGAGGGUGAUCGGCCACACUGGAACUGAGACACGGUCCAGACUCCUACGGGAGGCAGCAGUAGGGAAUCUUCCGCAAUGGGCGAAAGCCUGACGGAGCAACGCCGCGUGAGUGAUGAAGGUCUUCGGAUCGUAAAACUCUGUUAUUAGGGAAGAACAAAUGUGUAAGUAACUAUGCACGUCUUGACGGUACCUAAUCAGAAAGCCACGGCUAACUACGUG
This 497-nucleotide ribosomal RNA is filed under the name uncultured bacterium. Its description in RNAcentral is "partial 16S ribosomal RNA". It matches the Rfam family "Bacterial small subunit ribosomal RNA", at positions 28 to 507 of the family's 1533-position model. The record is from RNAcentral.